RNAcentral lists this ribosomal RNA (270 nucleotides) under uncultured archaeon. RNAcentral's name for it is "partial 16S ribosomal RNA". It matches the Rfam family "Archaeal small subunit ribosomal RNA", at positions 477 to 747 of the family's 1478-position model. The record is from RNAcentral.
CAGCACCUCAAGUGGUCAGGAUGAUUAUUGGGCCUAAAGCAUCCGUAGCCGGCGCUGUAAGUUUUCGGUUAAAUCUGUACGCUCAACGUACAGGCUGCCGGGAAUACUGCAGCGCUAGGGAGUGGGAGAGGUAGACGGUACUCGGUAGGAAGGGGUAAAAUCCUUUGAUCUAUUGAUGACCACCUGUGGCGAAGGCGGUCUACCAGAACACGUCCGACGGUGAGGGAGGAAAGCUGGGGGAGCAAACCGGAUUAGAUACCCGAGUAGUCC